Molecule: long non-coding RNA, 1427 nt
Organism: Seriola aureovittata
Lineage: Eukaryota; Metazoa; Chordata; Actinopteri; Carangiformes; Carangidae
Exons: 3
Source: RefSeq, a predicted model, not a curated record
UUUUUCCUGUAAUACAAAAUGAAAUUUAAUCGACGAACAUUAAAAAAAGUUCCAGAUAAUUGCAAAUAAAUUGCAUAUUUACUUCAUGAGGCAUCUCAAAAAGAAAAACGUGAAGCUUUUACUGUUGUAAACAAGAGUUGUAAAUGGAAGUUUAAAAAGAAUAAAUCUGUGACAAAAAGAACGUAAGAAAAAAAAAAAAAAAACCCGCCUGGACUAAAGCAGGGCUCUCCAUGUGAAGGCUGCACCGUCCUCUCACAUUCCAGCGCGUCGCAAAAAGGGGGAUUUAGAGCGACUUAUUUCCUUAAAACUGUCCUCCCAUCCACAGAGCCAGCCAGUCUGCUCCCAUCAGCCUCAUACAGGCCUGCACCAAAAAAAUUCACCCACUAUAUUUCCAGGGGAAUUCCCACCGAGAGACACCGAGCAGCCGAGGACUUGCAGGCUAUGCCGGACCUGCAGUGUGCACACACUCAGGAAGGAGGAUAAAUGCAAGAAGAAGAAAAAAAAAAAAAGGCAGAUACACACAGGCCUGUGGUGCAGCUGGAGACAAGACGAGCGACUUUCACCUAUUUCAGCUGAAACGAUUUCUGCAAGAAGAAGACGUGACAGAGGAUGAGAGACUUCUGGAUAUGAAGAUUCUGAUCAGAGGAAGCGGCUGUGUUGGAUCAUAACCCUGGAUUUCUUUUAACAACCGACCUGAGAUCUGAUAGAGCAAAAGUUUUGCCUGUUUGGAGGACAGGAGCUGCACCACACUCAGGAGUUCGCCAACAAACAAAUGGAUCGCAAUUAAACACACUCGCCUUCAGAUCAUCAAUGAGGAGGCAAAGUCAAGACUGGCAGAAAACCGACAAGGACAAAUAAAAGGCGGGAGAAGACUGUGCUGCCUCAAGGUUAACACUGACUGAAUGAACUGUGUGAAGAGCUCAUCUACACACAAUCUGGAUAGUUCUUGCUUCUUCUACAAGGACACAUCACAAACUGUUUGUCAUUGUAAAUCUCAUUUUACAACUUAAUGUGUUAAUUGUUAUAUUUUAGUAUCUUUGCUGCAAAAUUAAACCAAGUUUAUUUAUUCUCACAUUUCUGUUUCUUUUCUGUCUCAGAAUUAAUUAAAGAUUAAUUUGCAAAUAAAGACAUCUACGUUGAUAUCAUUAUCAAACCACCACUCCGCUCUCCGUCUCCCGCUCUCCCCUCACCUAGCCAUCAGUAGCCUUCUCCUCUGUGUGCUGAGGUGUCUGCAUGGCGUGGUAAAACCUGCCCUGCAGACCGGACCUCUCAAGUCUUCAAAGGAGGAAGAACUCAAUGUGGGGGAUUUGUUCAGGCUUAUUUGGUAACCUAGGAUUUGAAUUGGAUUCUGGGAGGCAUUCAUAACACAUUUGAAAAUGUUACAUUGUGUGAUUUUGUGUGUAAUCCCCAUAAUAAAUUUUAGAAAU